This 253-nucleotide ribosomal RNA is filed under the name uncultured bacterium. Its description in RNAcentral is "partial 16S ribosomal RNA". It matches the Rfam family "Bacterial small subunit ribosomal RNA", at positions 524 to 776 of the family's 1533-position model. The record is from RNAcentral.
UACGUAGGUGACCAGCGUUGUCCGGAUUUACUGGGCGUAAAGAGCGCGCAGGCGGUCGUUCAAGUCGAGUGUGAAAGCCCCCGGCUCAACUGGGGAGGGUCACUCGAUACUGGUCGACUUGAAGGCGGGAGAGGGAAGCGGAAUUCCCGGUGUAGUGGUGAAAUGCGUAGAUAUCGGGAGGAACACCAGUGGCGAAGGCGGCUUCCUGGCCUGUUCUUGACGCUGAGGCGCGAAAGCUAGGGGAGCAAACGGG